AAACUUUGUUCGUGUCCCAAGGGAAUUUGCCAAUCCGCUCAGCCCGCGUGUCAAAAACCUAGCCGCCAGCCCUUCUCGUCCCCUCCUCCCCGCUUCCUUCAUCCUCUCCCAUGUCGCCGCCCUUCUUCUCCCCGCUCGCCUUGGCCGCCUCCUCUCCUCCGCCGUGUCAUCGGCCCCCUCCCUCCUCCUACCUCCUCCUCCCUCCUCUCAGUCCCAUUCCAGCCGCUGCCCAAACCCUAGCCGCCGGUUCCCUCGAUCCCCACAGUAACCGCAUCCACAACCACCCACUCCUUCUCACAGCCGCCACACCAUUCCUCCUUUCCGCCCCCUCCUCCUUCCCGGAUCCCCACCACGACGCCGACCUGCAGGAAAAGGGCGACGAAGAGUAGCAAACAAGGACAACGAGGGAGAGAAAGAAGGGAGAUAAAAAGGAGGCCGGCGGCGAGGCCCGGCGACUAGCGCCUCUCCGCCUCAAGCCCCGGCAUCACCGCCACCAGAUCCACCUUGCAACCUCUCUUCCUCCCCUGUCUGACUGCUGCAUGGUCGCGUCAGGCCCAUGCCGGCGCCGUCGCCACCGCCGCACCGCUGCCGCUGGAUGGCUCCAUCGGUCGUUCCCGCCCCAGAUGGAAAACUGAGAGAGCGACAGGAGGGAAGAAGGGGAUCGGGGGAGGGGAGAGCAUGGGAGAGAAGGCAGGGGAUAUUUUCCGCCUUAGUCGAUUCAGGAACAGCGUCGGAUGGGAGAGAGCAGGGGAGGGACAAGAGGCCAGCGGUGUGGGGUGGAGCAGCGAGGCCGAAGACGGGGCAGCGGACGCCUCACGGGGUGUAGGAGAGGUCGGCGAUAGGGAAAAGCAGCAUCUUCAUGGAUGAGAUCCUGACGGCUGAAGAUGGUGCGCACGGGAGGAGCUUGGAAGAUGUCAACAUGAGCUUCUCUCAAUCCUUCUCCCCUUCACGCCCCUUGCAAAUUUUUCUUGUUUCAGAUCAUAUGAAAGGGCGCCGCGAGGAGUGGAGGAUUGAGGUCGUGGUUGCCAGCUUCAAAUUUUGGUUGAGCACUUCCUCAAGAAUCUUGUUGAGGUGUCUGCUUCCCCUCUCUGUGUCAUGAAUGAUUGUGAUGGCUGCAGGGUCUUCGCAAGGAGUUGAAGGCUGAGGUCAUGGUUGUCAGCUUCAAUUUUUUGCUAAGCAAUUCCUCAAGAGUCUUGCCAAGAUCUGAGGAUGAAGGGAAGAAGAAGAAUUUAACUAAACAGUUGAAGAAGAUCAAGGACCUACUAUGAUGCAUAUUUGAAAGAGUGCAUCUAUUGUUUCAGCUGAAAAUUGAUCUCUAUUUGAAGGAGUGCAUCUAUUGUGCAUCUGCGUCAAAAGACAGUGUGCUGUCUUUUAUUCCAUGCUCCAAAUAUUUCAUGUCCAAUUCAUAGGCAUCCUUGAAUUGCUUAACGAUGAUGGCAUGUUUGGUGUUCAUAUUUUUGUCAGCCAAAUAAUAAUAGGUGCACUUGACUGUUUGAGGAAAUGCCAACUGAAAUGCCAAUUGUGGUCAGCGUGUUGUAAGUACUUUGGGAAACAAGUUCUGGCGUAAGUUUAUCUGCUUGCUCAUGCAUUUUAAUACUGGAUUGAUGUCCUGAUAAUUUGUGAAUUUCUGUGUACCAUGUGAUAAGCUGCACAUCAGGCUGCAUGACAUCUUGUUUGUUGCUUUUAGGAUGUACAUGUACCCAGGUGGAUCAAAUACAAAUACCAGUCAUAUAUUAUUAUUUUUACUCGUGUGUUUUUCUUCUGCCUGCCAAACAUUUUGAAAAUUGAUUAUAUCAUUCAGAUGUAUUCAGGCUGGGUUUCUGUGAUCCAAAAAAAUCAUCUGGCAUGGCUUUUUUUACAUACAAAACUAAGUGUGGAGCAGUGUAUAUGUUCAUUGCUUUCUUAUCACAUUGUAUUUGUCGGAGGUGCUGUACUGAUUUGAAGGAAAUGCUUUUAUAUUUCCAAGUUGAUCAACUACAAAACUUCUGAUCCUAAAGCCUUUCUUUAAAAGGGGAUGGUCAAUGCAGCUCCAUGUUGUGCUAUCUUGCUAUUGGGCUCUUUUUUCGUUACUUAAAAUGGUCAGAUAUCUCUGAUGUUAAAUUCAUGGUUGAUUGCUUAUAUCCAAAAUAACUAUGUUAGUACACUGAAGCCACUUUCUACAUUGUUAGUGAAGUUGGCUAAAUAGUUUUUGCACCACUGAGAUAUAUAUGUGCACUGCAUUCUAACCCUGUAAAUUGUUUAGCCAUUAGUUUAAUCCAGAAUAUAAUUAUGUUAGUACACUCUGCAAUAUAAUUAUGUUAUAUUCUGCUUUUGUCAGUUUGCUGGUCCAUAUUAAUUUCCUCGAACUUAUUUUCACAUCUCAUGAAGGGGAGCCUUGGCGCAGUGGUAAAGCUGCUGCCUUGUGACCAUGAGGUCAUGGGUUCAAGUCCUGGAAACAGCCUCUUACAGAAAUGUAGGGAAAGGCUGCGUACUAUAGACCCAAAGUGGUCGGACCCUUCCCUGGACCCUGCGCAAGCGAGAGCUACAUGCACCAGGUUGCCCUUUUUUUUUUUUAAAUUUUCACAUCUCAUCAUAUUUACACCUCUCCUUUGAAUGAAUUUACUGCAUAAAUUUCUUAUUUAGUUUAGUUCAUCAUUCAGAGACGAUGGAAUAUUUUUGUCCUUCACAGGUUAAAUGAGCAUUGCGUAGUCCUUCACAGGUUAAAUGAGCAUUGUGUAAAAGUAUGUCUAAGUUCUCUUUCUUCAAGUGCUUCAAGUAAAUAAAAUUGUCUAUUUCAAAUUUAAUACCUUUUAAUAAUAAUCAUAAUGAGAGAGGGGUAUGCUUCUCCCUCUCUGGGCAAAUGUUACUUUAGACAACAUGUACUAAGAAAUAAAAACUCUAGAAAUGUGUUUGAAUCGCACAAAAAGAGUUCGUAGUUCUUAUUCAUACUUGAAACACGUUAGGCUCUGCAAAUUAAACCAUGUUUUUUUCAAGGCGUAUAUGGAUUUAGCAGACCACAACUAAACCGACUGUAUAUACAUGGCUUGUCCUGUAAAGGAAACUAUUUUCAUCGCGAACAUGGCUUUAGUUGAAGGUUCUUGGAGCAUGAAACUAUUUUCAUCGACAACAUGUCUUCAGUAGGUCUCUGCACCAUUUGGCGCAACGGGUCAACUAGUACAUGCAGUAGGAGCCUUUCCUACUGUCUUUACAGUAAAAAAAAUUGCUCUUAAACCGUAAGGAAUUAGAGAGCGUGUUCUACAUGAAAUAGUCGUGCCUCAUUGAUAUCUUUCCAAUUACGUAUAAUUUGAAUAAUUCGAUCAGCG
Molecule: ribosomal RNA, 3302 nt
Filed under: Triticum aestivum (bread wheat)
Lineage: Eukaryota; Viridiplantae; Streptophyta; Magnoliopsida; Poales; Poaceae
Description: partial small subunit ribosomal RNA
Source: RNAcentral